UACAGAGGUCCCAAGCGUUGUUCGGAUUCAUUGGGCGUAAAGGGUGCGUAGGCGGUCUGUCACGUCGGAUGUGAAAACUCGGGGCUCAACCCCGAGCCUGCAUUCGAUACGGGCAGACUAGAGUUCGGUAGGGGAGACUGGAAUUCCUGGUGUAGCGGUGAAAUGCGCAGAUAUCAGGAGGAACACCGGUGGCGAAGGCGGGUCUCUGGGCCGAUACUGACGCUGAGGAGCGAAAGCGUGGGGAGCGAACAGG
RNAcentral lists this ribosomal RNA (253 nucleotides) under uncultured bacterium. Its description in RNAcentral is "partial 16S ribosomal RNA". It matches the Rfam family "Bacterial small subunit ribosomal RNA", at positions 524 to 776 of the family's 1533-position model. The record is from RNAcentral.